UUUUUUCGUAUCAUUCUUUACAAAGUCGUUCUGACUUUCAUCUACUGAGGGUAGUACGGAUUUUUGACUACCCAUGUGGAAUGAUCAGUUCAGGUAUAAUUGCAAAUUGCGGCUUGCCAAACCAUUGCACGAUCUAUGACCACAGUCAUGCUAGCCAUAGUGGUCCUACAAUAAGACUAUGGCCAGGACUGUACUUUGAUAAAGGUGACCCCCACAGUAAUAUCGCGUCACCGCUCUCGUC
Molecule: long non-coding RNA, 241 nt
Filed under: Carica papaya (papaya)
Lineage: Eukaryota; Viridiplantae; Streptophyta; Magnoliopsida; Brassicales; Caricaceae
Description: long non-coding RNA (CPAP_LNC009574)
Source: RNAcentral